Molecule: ribosomal RNA, 375 nt
Filed under: uncultured bacterium
Lineage: Bacteria
Description: bacterial SSU rRNA
Rfam family: Bacterial small subunit ribosomal RNA
Source: RNAcentral
CACGGGGGGAGCAAGCGUUGUCCGGAAUUACUAGGCGUAAAGGGCAAGUAGGCGGAAUGGUCAGUCAGAUGUUAAAGGCACCGGCUCAACCGGUGUAAGGCAUUUGAUACUGCUAUUCUAGAGUAAGGUGGGGGAAGACAGAAUUCCUGGUGUAGCGGUGGAAUGCGCAGAUAUCAGGAAGAAUACCAGUGGCGAAGGCGGUCUUCUAUACCAUUACUGACGCUCAAUUGCGAAGGUGUGGGUAUCGAACAGGAUUAGAUACCCUGGUAGUCCACACAGUAAACGAUAUGCACUAGGUGUUGGGGGAGAUAAUCCUUCAGUGCCGCAGCUAACGCGUUAAGUGCAUCGCCUGGGGAGUACGAUCGCAAGGUUAAA